Molecule: long non-coding RNA, 2446 nt
Organism: Drosophila subpulchrella
Lineage: Eukaryota; Metazoa; Arthropoda; Insecta; Diptera; Drosophilidae
Exons: 3
Source: RefSeq, a predicted model, not a curated record
UGAGCUGCGAAGGCUGCGUGUUUGGAAAUCGCCAGCUAAAUCAAUUCAAUUUUUGCUCGUUAAAUGCUCACUUAGUAGAGGCAAUAAAGCGAAGAACUAGGUGCUGUUUUAAUGAACAAGAAAUUUCUGGCAGCUUCCAGACCUCAAGUUCAGCAAUGGACUGGAUUAUCCGUACUUCAUAUGACUUCAUACUAGCCCCUGCUUUAUUCAUGAGCACAGUCAACUGAAAGAAAUCGAGAUAUGAAACGGAAAGCAGGAUAUUCGAGCUCUAAAUUGGCCUGGGCCGAAAGGACAUCACAGCAGCCCAGGAGCGGGAAAACCCAGUGAAAACUGCAGCACAACACACACACACAAAGGGCCGGAAAGCGGACGGAAAGACGGGCGGACAUAUGUAUGGCCGGAGAGGCAUAUAGACAGACGGUCCAAGGGCCAGGACGGAACGUCACAUGCUCAUCAAUCGGUCGCUCACAUUUGCAACAAUGCAGAGUGAUGUCCGUGCACCUUGGAGAGGAAGUACACGGAGGAAAAUAGGGGCGAAAAUAGAAAGUAUUCCAAAUACAUACAAAUAUUCUGUAAUUUAUAUUGAAUUAAUUGUUAUAAUAUUUCUUUUGUAAUUUUUAAACAAGCCUGAAUCUAUGUUAUCUAAUUUACCCCAGGUUUAAGAGGUUUUAAUAAGAAGUAGUUUAAAUCCUUUUUGUUUUACCAGCUUUGCUAUACCGAAAAACAUUUUUAUAUAAUUUAAAAAUGCAAUUUUUUGUAGUACACUUGUACUUGCAAGGCUUUAAUCAUUUUUCUUUCAGUGCACAGGGGUUCAGAGCCUGGCAGACGAUGACAGUUGACGAUAAGCGGUCGAGUGGCUGAAUCCUUGUGUGCUCUGUACCUCUUUUUUCCCCCAUUGCUGAGUCCUCGAAUGUUGUGACUGCCUUUGGUUUGUUGUUGGCCAAACAAACACUGACGAGCGAAAGACGAGGAGAAAGCGGUGAAAGGGGGGAGAGAGAGUGCCAAGAGAAUCAGCAGAACCUUCUCCACGUUGGCCUCAUUUGACUCUAGCCUUUUUCCUCGCUUAAUCCAUUUAAUUGCAUUUUUUCGUACUUUCUGCUGCAGCAGUUAAGCCUUUGGGCCUUUGUUCUUGGGCAUUCCAGUGCACACGGGUCGUAUGUGGAACGUGAGAACGAAUUACGCAUACGCCCCAGUAACCCAUCCAUCGAAGCAUUCAAAUAUUCAUUUGCAAUUUGGUGGCUAAUGAAAAUUCGUUAGAAAUGCAUUCCGAGAGCCACCCAGAAACCAAACACACAAACCAAGCCACCCGACUUGUCCUUGUGCCACUUUCAAUCCAACUCUUCCGACUGAGCGACUGUCUGACGUUUCGUAUCAAAUUAUCUAUAAAUUGCGAUUGCCUAGGCACGCCAUCAAUGCAAGGGAAUAUCCUCAGGCGGAAAUGGAGGAGGGGCUGGGUGUGGAUAAAUCCAGUUCGUGUUCGCUGAUUGUUCCUUUUUGCCUUACAUUGUCGUGUGAAGUUUUUCAUAUCACUCCAUUGAACACAUGCACGGAUAGCCAGUGAUGGCGAUUCCAUGGGUGGUUGUACCCAAGUAAAUAGAAUAGUUUUCUAAGGUAUACUUAGGUACACAAACACGAGACUUUCUUGAAUUUUAAAUUAAUUUAACUAUACUGGAAUAAUUAAUUUGAUUAAUAUUAGUACCUUUAUUAUAUCUAAAAGGGUGCCAAGUAUUUCUCUAUGUUCCCUUUUCUAUAAACGGUUAUUUAUUAAAGUCUCACAGCUCUAAAUAUUUGAUAAAAUAUUUAUGGCUAUUUGCACAAUUUUGAACCAUUUAAUAUUCUGUACUUUAGAAUAAAUAAACAUUUUCCAUCCCAUCACUGCGUACAACAUGUACUCACACACUAGUGCAAUCAAUUUCCAAUGAGAAAAUAAACAAGAAAAAUACCCAAAACAGGAGAAAAAAGAAUGUAAAACUGCCUGCUGCCAAGUCUUGCCAUUUGCCCGAGAUUUGAAUUUAAUUUUGAGGUCAGACAAAGGCAAAGAGUUUUGGGCCGAGGAGGUUGUUUGUGCCUCAAGUGUUGCCUGCAUAAAAAAAUGCAAUAAAUAUUUAAAUUACUAUAUCCACAUGCUGCACGCAAAUGGAGAACGUAUUCACAAGGGGCUUUUCCGCCGGGAUGGGGAGACUUCUCGAAAAACUAGGCUAAAUGUGGAUCGCACUACAAAAUAAUUAAAAGAAAUGUUGCAGAGAAAUUGAAAUGAGUGUCGAGUGUGGGAGUCACAUAAAAUGUUAAGGAAUUGGCAAGUGAAUAGUUUCAGUUCACAAGGGUGUUAUGGGGGACUUAAAAAGAAGAUUGAUUGAGUUCUUAAGUGUUUUUUCAUAUUUUUGUGAAGCACCCUUAGUAAAAAUAUAAAACAUGUAUUUAUUGCCAUUUACCUUUUAAGGACCAU